GCUUGCUUCCGCCGACGACCGGCGCACGGGUGCGUAACGCGUAUACAAUCUACCUUAUACUGGGGUAUAGCCUUUAGAAAUGAAGAUUAACCCCCCAUAGUCUCUUAGAGUGGCAUCACUUCUAGAGUAAAGGUUACGGUAUAAGAUGAGUAUGCGUUCUAUUAGUUUGUUGGUGUGGUAACGGCACACCAAGACUACGAUAGAUAGGGGCCCUGAGAGGGGGAUCCCCCACACUGGUACUGAGACACGGACCAGACUCCUACGGGAGGCAGCAGUGAGGAAUAUUGGACAAUGGAGGCAACUCUGAUCCAGCCAUGCCGCGUGCAGGAAGACUGCCCUAUGGGUUGUAAACUGCUUUUAUACAGGAAGAAACACCUCUACGUGUAGAGGCUUGACGGUACUGUAAGAAUAAGGAUCGGCUAACUCCGUGCCAGCAGCCGCGGUAAUACGGAGGAUCCAAGCGUUAUCCGGAAUCAUUGGGUUUAAAGGGUCCGUAGGUGGAUAAUUAAGUCAG
RNAcentral lists this ribosomal RNA (514 nucleotides) under uncultured Bacteroidota bacterium. Its description in RNAcentral is "bacterial SSU rRNA". It matches the Rfam family "Bacterial small subunit ribosomal RNA", at positions 78 to 591 of the family's 1533-position model. Lineage: Bacteria; Pseudomonadati; Bacteroidota. The record is from RNAcentral.